RNAcentral lists this ribosomal RNA (272 nucleotides) under Pseudo-nitzschia fraudulenta. RNAcentral's name for it is "partial Bacterial small subunit ribosomal RNA". It matches the Rfam family "Bacterial small subunit ribosomal RNA", at positions 660 to 931 of the family's 1533-position model. Lineage: Eukaryota; Bacillariophyta; Bacillariophyceae; Bacillariales; Bacillariaceae. The record is from RNAcentral.
GGUGGAAUUCGUAGUGUAGCGGUGAAAUGCAUAGAUACCAUAAAGAACACCGAUUGCGAAGGCAGCUUACUGGGCUUGAAUUGACGCUGAGGCACGAAAGCGUGGGGAGCGAACAGGAUUAGAUACCCUGGUAGUCCACGCCGUAAACGAUGUCUACUAGCCGUUGGGGAACUUGAUUCUUUAGUGGCGCAGCUAACGCACUAAGUUGACCGCCUGGGGAGUACGGCCGCAAGGUUAAAACUCAAAUGAAUUGACGGGGGCCCGCACAAGCG